Long non-coding RNA from Stegodyphus dumicola, 238 nucleotides. NCBI's taxonomy places the organism in Eukaryota, Metazoa, Arthropoda, Arachnida, Araneae, Eresidae. The record is from RefSeq and is a predicted model, not a curated record.
AAGGUUACGGAGAUAGAGGUGGAUACGGAGAAAGUUCUAGUGCUGCUGGAGCUGCUGCUGCUGCUGGGGCAGGAUCUGGUGCUGGACCACAAAGACAAGACCAAGGGGCUGCUGCCGCUGCUGCUGCCUCUGCUGCAGGAGGGUACCAUAAAAUCUUAGCCUGGGUGGUCUAGUAUUUUGCCCGGCCCUAGGGAAAAACAUAUAUGAAGUCUUUCGCAAAUUAAAAAUCAACUUCUCA